This 492-nucleotide ribosomal RNA is filed under the name uncultured bacterium. Its description in RNAcentral is "partial 16S ribosomal RNA". It matches the Rfam family "Bacterial small subunit ribosomal RNA", at positions 29 to 507 of the family's 1533-position model. The record is from RNAcentral.
AGUGAACGCUGGCGGUAGGCCUAACACAUGCAAGUCGAACGGCAGCACAGUAAGAGCUUGCUCUUACGGGUGGCGAGUGGCGGACGGGUGAGGAAUACAUCGGAAUCUACUUUUUCGUGGGGGAUAACGUAGGGAAACUUACGCUAAUACCGCAUACGACCUACGGGUGAAAGCAGGGGAUCUUCGGACCUUGCGCGAUUGAAUGAGCCGAUGUCGGAUUAGCUAGUUGGCGGGGUAAAGGCCCACCAAGGCGACGAUCCGUAGCUGGUCUGAGAGGAUGGUCAGCGACACUGGAACGGAGACAGGGUCAAUACUCCUACGGGAGGCAGCAGUGGGGAAUAGUGGACAAUGGGCGCAAGCCUGAUCCAGCGAUACGGCGUGGGUGAAGAAGGCCUUCGGGUUGUAAAGCCCGUUUGUUGGGAAAGAAAAGCAGCAGGUUAAUACCCCGCUGUUCUGACGGUACCCAAAGAAGAAGCACCGGCUAACUUCGUG